Non-coding RNA from Equus caballus (horse), 116 nucleotides. The record is from Rfam. Lineage: Eukaryota; Metazoa; Chordata; Mammalia; Perissodactyla; Equidae.
CCCUUUGGACUUUCCCUCUGGGUUCGGUGCUAACCUCUUCUGUGAGCUUGCUCUGCCCCUCCUCCUCCCUUUAACUCUGUCAAGGUUAUCACUUCACUUAAAACCUUGCUUCUGGU